GUGACUUGUGAUUUAGGAAAAAAAUAUAUUUUUUGUCUGAUAUAAAUACUUGGUGUACACUAACAACAGGGUUCUGAAGCUAAUGGUUUUAACAACAAUGGUGUCUUUGGAUGAGAUGUUACUUAAAUAGCAUGUAAUGAAAAAUGAAACCCUAUAGUACUGUAACUCACUCACACAACUCUGCUGUUAACAUUGCAUGGAGGGGAAUCAGUGAGCUUUCCAUCCCACUGUUGCUAGCAUUUUGCACAGUAGAUGAAGAUAGAGUGAAGAACAGCACUGCACAGUGUGCAAGGCUCAUGAGAUCUAUGGUAGAAGGUGCAGUGUCAGAGAGGAGCAGCAAGGCCAAGGACUGCUCUGAAAUCAUUAUUCUGAUGGAGAGUCAGUGAUCAGUUUGAUAUCAAGAGAAUGGUGGAAAUCUCAAAAGGCUGGAGAAAAAGAUCCUGCUAUUUGCUAAUGUUAAGAAGAUGUGUUGUCCUUGUGAGUCAGCCACGUCAGUUCUGUUUCCAUUUCCUAAAUCCUCAUGUGGCAAGGAAUAAGAAAUUUUUAAAAUGCGUAGACAGAAACAAAGCCAAACAAAGUAGAUAAGAACAUUAAGAAGACACCUUCAGCUAUGACCCAUGGUUUCUGGAAGGAUGUGUAUUUUCAAGCAACCGCUGGUCAAAGAUGACGAGAAUUGAUGUGUUGCGAGGAGCAGUGUGUGGGAGUUUUCGGGAGGAGGAAGCUUGAUGCCAGGUCACAGCCUGGCUGGCAGUGCCACAGCACAUCCUUUACAGACGCAGCCCUGUUGGUUAUCCUCGAUCAAGCUGGUGGCAAACAGCAGGUACAAGUGUGUGGGGAGAGGGAGAGAACCUGGUGAUGUGGUUUUGGAUCCCUGCCUUGCCCCCGCAGCAGAGGCCAGGGAGGGGUGGUUGUAAGUUUGUUUUUCAUGAAUGGACCAAAGAUGGUGACAGUGGCCCCCAGGACAACCUCUCUUCUGCCGGCAGCAUAUCACAAGCAACCCCGCUCGUUAACUGCCAACAGUGGACUUCUGAUGUGCUAUACAUUGUAAAAUGAAGACCUUAAGAGGCUUAAAGCAUCAUCAUCAUUUCAUAUUGUGCAACUGUUGCUGGCAAGAUUUUGUUAAAAUGCCACAGUUUUCUCUUUAUGAAAUUCAUUCUCCCUUAGACACCGUGGAUAGUGUCAAAUAAUAUCUUUUACCUUUUUCAUGCAAGAUGUGCUGGAUUUAAAGCAAAACACAACAAAAAUCAAAAACAAGAAAAAACAACCAACCAACAACAACCAAAAAUAUACGCCCAACCCUCCAUUCUGAUGACAUGAAAUGCAAGGAGACUUUUCUUGGCUUUGAUUGUGGCCAGGUGGAUAUAACAAGACUUUCUGAAACAAAAGAUGCACCUGUCCCAGUACCUCAGGCACUCCACAUCCCAUGUUGUUGUGCAAGGAUGAUGGUGAGGAUGCUGGUUAACCUCCAUGCCCAUCUCCCUGGGAGCAGAAGAAAUCACCAUUAAAGCCCCGAUGUCACAGCAGAGCCUUGGGUGCUUGGCAGUGCCUGGAAUUGGUGCUCCCAGGUGGUGGAUUUGAACCCUUUAAGGAAGUGGAGGAUUAGUGUGUGCUGCUUGAAUUCAUUCCCUUUGGGAUGCACUGCCUUUCUGGCUUUUUCUGGCCAUCCUCAAACUGACCUCAAGUUGUAACAGAGGCUGAAAAAAAAAAAAAAAAAA
Anas platyrhynchos (mallard) is the source of this 1715-nucleotide long non-coding RNA. RefSeq lists it as uncharacterized. The record is from RefSeq and is a predicted model, not a curated record. Lineage: Eukaryota; Metazoa; Chordata; Aves; Anseriformes; Anatidae.